CAGUCGCCGCGGGAAUACAGAGGGUGCGAGCGUUAAUCGGAUUUACUGGGCGUAAAGCGUGCGUAGGCGGCUUUUUAAGUCGGAUGUGAAAUCCCUAAGCUUAACUUAGGAAUUGCAUUCGAUACUGGGAAGCUAGAGUAUGGGAGAGGAUGGUAGAAUUCCAGGUGUAGCGGUGAAAUGCGUAGAGAUCUGGAGGAAUACCGAUGGCGAAGGCAGCCAUCUGGCCUAAUACUGACGCUGAGGUACGAAAGCAUGGGGAGCAAACAGGAUUAGAUACCCCCGUAGUCCCUGUCUCUUAUAC
RNAcentral lists this ribosomal RNA (301 nucleotides) under uncultured bacterium. RNAcentral describes it as "partial 16S ribosomal RNA". It matches the Rfam family "Bacterial small subunit ribosomal RNA", at positions 509 to 807 of the family's 1533-position model. The record is from RNAcentral.